AUCCUGGCUCAGAUUGAACGCUGGCGGCAUGCCUUACACAUGCAAGUCGUACGGCAGCGCGGGGCUACCUGGCGGCGAGUGGCGAACGGGUGAGUAAUAUAUCGGAACGUACCCUGGAGUGGGGGAUAACGUAGCGAAAGUUACGCUAAUACCGCAUACGAUCUAAGGAUGAAAGCAGGGGACCGCAAGGCCUUGUGCUCCUGGAGCGGCCGAUAUCUGAUUAGCUAGUUGGUGGGGUAAAGGCCCACCAAGGCAUCGAUCAGUAGCUGGUCUGAGAGGACGACCAGCCACACUGGAACUGAGACACGGUCCAGACUCCUACGGGAGGCAGCAGUGGGGAAUUUUGGACAAUGGGCGCAAGCCUGAUCCAGCAAUGCCGCGUGAGUGAAGAAGGCCUUCGGGUUGUAAAGCUCUUUUGUCAGGGAAGAAACGGUGGAGGGCUUAAUAUCCUUUGCUAAUGACGGUAUCUGAAGAAUAAGCACCGG
RNAcentral lists this ribosomal RNA (485 nucleotides) under Janthinobacterium sp. 01WB02.3-19. RNAcentral describes it as "bacterial SSU rRNA". It matches the Rfam family "Bacterial small subunit ribosomal RNA", at positions 16 to 496 of the family's 1533-position model. The record is from RNAcentral. Lineage: Bacteria; Pseudomonadati; Pseudomonadota; Betaproteobacteria; Burkholderiales; Oxalobacteraceae.